This 56-nucleotide non-coding RNA is filed under the name Cylindrospermum stagnale PCC 7417. RNAcentral describes it as "Cyanobacteria heterocyst sRNA". It matches the Rfam family "Cyanobacteria heterocyst sRNA". Lineage: Bacteria; Bacillati; Cyanobacteriota; Cyanophyceae; Nostocales; Nostocaceae. The record is from Rfam by way of RNAcentral.
GGGAUGUUGUUAUGCACUGGAUUUAUAUCAAGGUUUGGCUCACUACCAAACCUUUU